AGAGUUUGAUCAUGGCUCAGGAUGAACGCUGGCGGCGUGGAUAAGGCAUGCAAGUCGAACGCUUCGUAAUUUAUUGCGAAGAGUGGCGAACGGGUUAGUAACACGUAGGAAUUUACCCUGAAGACCGGAAUAACUCGGAGAAAUUCGAGCUAAUACCGGAUAGUCUCGUAAGAGUAAAGUAUCGUUUCGGCGAUUUCACUUCAGGAGAAGCCUGCGUCCUAUCAGCUUGUUGGUGAGGUAAUAGCUCACCAAGGCUUUGACGGGUAGGGGAGGUGAGAGCCUGACCCCCAACAAUGGAACUGAGAUACUGUCCAUACACCUACGGGUGGCUGCAGUCGAGAAUCUUCCACAAUGGGCGAAAGCCUGAUGGAGCGACGCCGCGUGAGUGAAGAAUCCCUUCGGGGUGUAAAACUCUUUUCUGAAGGAACAAGUCCGAUUUAUCGGAUUGAGCGUACUUCAGGAAUAAGGGGUGGCUAACUUCGUGCCAGAAGCCUCGGUAAUACGAAGGCCCCAAGCGUUAUCCGGAAUCACUGGGCGUAAAGCGUGGGUAGGCGGUUUUAAUAGUGGUUGGUUAAAUUCCGGAGCUUAACUUCGGAGCUGCCAGCUAAACGUUAAGACUAGAGCAAGCGAGAGGCUGAUGGAACUUACCCAAGUAGGGGUGAGAUCCGUUGAUAUGGUAGGGAACACCAAAGGCGAAGGCAAUCAGCUGGCGCUUGACUGACGCUGAUCUACGAAAGCGUGGGGAGAGAAGAGGAUUAGAUACCCUCGUAUUCCACGCCGUAAACGAUGCCAACUAGCCGUUCGAAGUAUCGACCCUUCGAGUGGCGAAGCUAACGCGUUAAGUUGGCCGCCUGGGAAGUACGGCCGCAAGGCUAAAACUCAAAGGAAUAGACGGGGACUUGCACAAGCGGUGGAUCAUGUGGUUUAAUUCGAUGCUACACGAGGAACCUUACCAGGGUUUGAAAUUCUAAUGUAACUCCGCAGAAACGUGGGGCCUCUUAAUAAGACAUUAGAGUCAGGUGGUGCACGGUUGUCGUCAGUUCGUACUGUGAAGCGUUCCUUUAAUUAGGGUAACGGACGCAACCCUCAUCCUGUGUUACAAGUGUCACAGGGGACUGCCUCCGAAUAGGAGGAGGAAGGCGAGGACGACGUCAAAUCAGCGUGUCCCUUUGAUAUCCUGGGCCACACACAUGAUACAAUGGCCGAGACAAUGGGUUGCCAAACCGCAAGGUGGAGCUAAUCCCAUCAAACUUGGUCUCAGUUCGGAUUGGGGGCUGCAACUCGCCCCCAUGAAGCCGGAAUCGCUAGUAAUCGCGAAUCAGCUAUGUCGCGGUGAAUACGUUCCCAAGUCUUGUACUCACUGCCCGUCAAAUCAGGGAAGUCGGUAGCGCCCGAAGUCUCUCCAUCAGGAGGGCCUAAGGCGAGAUCGGUGACCAGGAUUAAGUCGUAACAAAGGUA
RNAcentral lists this ribosomal RNA (1458 nucleotides) under uncultured bacterium. RNAcentral describes it as "bacterial SSU rRNA". It matches the Rfam family "Bacterial small subunit ribosomal RNA". The record is from RNAcentral.